This 443-nucleotide ribosomal RNA is filed under the name uncultured bacterium. RNAcentral describes it as "partial 16S ribosomal RNA". It matches the Rfam family "Bacterial small subunit ribosomal RNA", at positions 338 to 795 of the family's 1533-position model. The record is from RNAcentral.
CCUACUGGAGGCUGCAGUGGGGAAUAUUGGUCAAUGGGCGCAAGCCUGACCCAGCAACGCCGCGUGAAGGAAGAAGGCUCUCGGGUUGUAAACUUCUUUUCUCAGGGACGAAGCAAGCGACGGUACUUGAGGAAUAAGCCACGGCUAACUACGGGCCAGCACUCGCUGUAAUACGUAGGUGGCAAGCGUUAUCCGGAUUUACUGGGUGUAAAGGGCUGCUAGGCGGGACUGCAAGUCAGAUGUGAAAACCAUGGGCUCAACCUAUGGCCUGCAUUUGAAACUGUGGUUCUUGAGUACUGGAGAGGCAGACGGAAUGCCUAGUGUAGCGGUGAAAUGCGUAGAUAUGAGGAGGAACACCAGUGGCGAAGGCGGUGUGCUGGACACCAACUGACGCUGAGGCGCGAAAGCGUGGGGAGCGAACAGGAUUAGAUACCCCGGUAGUC